This 500-nucleotide ribosomal RNA is filed under the name uncultured bacterium. RNAcentral's name for it is "partial 16S ribosomal RNA". It matches the Rfam family "Bacterial small subunit ribosomal RNA", at positions 30 to 523 of the family's 1533-position model. The record is from RNAcentral.
AUUGAACGCUGGCGGCAUGCCUUACACAUGCAAGUCGAACGGCAGCACGGGAGCAAUCCUGGUGGCGAGUGGCGAACGGGUGAGUAAAGUAUCGGAACGUGCCCAGUCGUGGGGGAUAACGUAGCGAAAGUUACGCUAAUACCGCAUACGAUCUAUGGAUGAAAGCGGGGGAUCGCAAGACCUCGCGCGAUUGGAGCGGCCGAUAUCAGAUUAGGUAGUUGGUGGGGUAAAGGCUCACCAAGCCGACGAUCCGCAGCUGGUCUGAGAGGACGACCAGCCACACUGGGACUGAGACACGGCCCAGACUCCUACGGGAGGCAGCAGUGGGGAAUUUUGGACAAUGGGCGCAAGCCUGAUCCAGCCAUGCCGCGUGCAGGAUGAAGGCCUUCGGGUUGUAAACUGCUUUUGUACGGAACGAAAAGGUUUGGCUUAAUACGUUGAACUCAUGACGGUACCGUAAGAAUAAGCACCGGCUAACUACGUGCCAGCCGCCGCCGUAA